RNAcentral lists this ribosomal RNA (461 nucleotides) under uncultured bacterium. Its description in RNAcentral is "bacterial SSU rRNA". It matches the Rfam family "Bacterial small subunit ribosomal RNA", at positions 28 to 490 of the family's 1533-position model. The record is from RNAcentral.
GACGAACGCUGGCGGCGUGCCUAACACAUGCAAGUCAACUUGACGGAAGGAGCAAUCUGACCGUAGAGUGGCGCAAGGGUGCGUAACGCGUAAGUAACUUGCCCCAAGGUAAGGAAUAACGUCGAGAAAUCGGCGCUAAUACCUCAUAAUGCAGCGGAUCCGCAUGGAUAUGUUGUUAAAGGUUUACCGCCUUGGGAUAGGCUUGCGUCUGAUUAGCUAGUUGGUGUGGUAACGGCACACCAAGGCUACGAUCAGUAACUGGUCAGAGAGGAUGAUCAGUCACACUGGAACUGAGACACGGUCCAGACUCCUACGGGAGGCAGCAGUGAGGCAUAUUGGGCAAUGCUCGAAAGAGUGACCCAGCAACGCCGCGUGGAGGAUGAAGGUAUUCUAUAUCGUAAACUCCUGUGAGAGCAGACGAAAGACAGAUUAUAAUCUGAUGACUGUAUGCUCAGAGGAAG